GUUACAGCUGGGAUGGGGUACUACUGACAUCUGGUGUGGGUAGAGGCCAGGGACGCUGGUCACAGCCUGCAUUCCACAUGGCAAGCCCCCACCACAAAGAAUCAGCUAGCCCCAGAUUGCAGUAGUGCUGAAGCUGGGAACGCUUGCUGGAAUCCGUCUUAUUUUCUGAUACAUUUCAGAGAAACCUGGAUACACUGGUAUACUUCCUCCUCAAUAUUUAAGCAUGAAUAUCAUGAACUAGAUUUCCGUAUUUAUUUACGGUGUUUGUCUUUCGAUGUGAAAUGUACAUGCAAUGAAAUGCAGAAGUCUUAAGGGUGCCUUCACUGAGUUUUGGCCACAGUGCAUUCGCCUGUGUAGCCCAAACCCAUGUCAGGACAGAGGACCUUUUACCAUUGGCUUGGAAAAUCCCCCUUAGCUCCUCUCCAGGCAAGCCUUUCAGCCUCCUUUCCCCAGGAGGCAACUACUAUUCUAAUUUUUUUUCCACCAUAGAAAGCAAUUAGAACAGGGUUCUCAGAGUUUUGUUUGUUUUAGAAUGGCAUAUAAAUGGAAUAACGACAGAUGUGCCCUUUGUGUGAGAGUUCUUUCACUCCAUGGCACAGCCGUUCUUAAAGUGUGUUCUGCAGGCCUCUUGGGUUCUCCAACACUCCUUCCAGGGGUCCUAUAUGUCACAGCUAUUUUCAUUAUAAUUCUGAGACAUUUUUCUCCUCUACACUGUGCUGACAUUUAUGUAGAUGGUGCAAAGGGAACGGUGGGUAAAUUGAGGCAGUAGCACCAAACUGUACCUUUGUCAUUGUGUUCUUCAUCACUACCAACUUACAGAAAAAGGCGCCAGCAUCACUUAAAAAUGCCCUGGGUGAAACAGAACAGAUGUGAAUCUUUUAAAAUCUCAGCCCCUGAAUACAUAUGCUUUUAAUAUUCUGUAUGAUGGCCAGGUGCGGUGGCUUACGCCUGUAAUCCCAGCACUUUGGGAGGCUGAGGCGGGCGGAUCACCUGAGGUCGGGAGUUCGAGACCAGCCUGACCAAUAUGGACAAACCCUGUCUUUACUAAAAAUACAAAAAUGAGCCGGGCGUCGUGGCACAUGCCUGUAAUCCCAGCUACUGGGGAGGCUGAGGCAGGAGAAUCGCUUGAACCUGGGAGGUGGAGGUUGCAGUGAGCCAAGAUCGUGCCAUUGCACUCCAGCCUGGGCAAUAAGAACAAAACUCCAUCUCAAAAAAAAAAAAAAAAA
RNAcentral lists this long non-coding RNA (1226 nucleotides) under Macaca fascicularis (crab-eating macaque). RNAcentral's name for it is "lncRNA (ENSMFAG00000053218.1)". Lineage: Eukaryota; Metazoa; Chordata; Mammalia; Primates; Cercopithecidae. The record is from RNAcentral.